UGCGUAGGUGGCGUGGUAAGUCGGGUGUGAAAUUUCGGAGCUUAACUCCGAAACUGCAUUCGAUACUGCCGUGCUUGAGGACUGGAGAGGAGACUGGAAUUUACGGUGUAGCAGUGAAAUGCGUAGAGAUCGUAAGGAAGACCAGUGGCGAAGGCGGGUCUCUGGACAGUUCCUGACGCUGAGGCACGAAGGCUAGGGGAGCAAACG
Molecule: ribosomal RNA, 207 nt
Filed under: uncultured bacterium
Lineage: Bacteria
Description: partial 16S ribosomal RNA
Rfam family: Bacterial small subunit ribosomal RNA
Source: RNAcentral